UCAGGAUGAACGCUAGCUACAGGCUUAACACAUGCAAGUCGAGGGGUAACAUGAUUGGAGCUUGCUCCGAUUGAUGACGACCGGCGCACGGGUGAGUAACGCGUAUCCAACCUGCCCCAUGCUCAGGGAUAACCUUCCGAAAGGGAGCCUAAUACCUGAUGUUGUGCGACGAUGGCAUCAGAAUUGCACUAAAGAUUCAUCGGCAUGGGAUGGGGAUGCGUCUGAUUAGCUUGCCGGCGGGGUAACGGCCCACCGGGGCUACGAUCAGUAGGGGUUCUGAGAGGAAGGUCCCCCACACUGGUACUGAGACACGGACCAGACUCCUACGGGAGGCAGCAGUGAGGAAUAUUGGUCAAUGGGCGGGAGCCUGAACCAGCCAAGUAGCGUGCCAGGAAGACGGCCCUACGGGUUGUAAACUGCUUUUAUGAGGGGAUAAAGUGGGCUACGUGUAGCUUAUUGCAGGUACCUCAUGAAUAAGGACCGGCUAAUUCCGUGCCAGCCGCUGC
Molecule: ribosomal RNA, 506 nt
Filed under: uncultured bacterium
Lineage: Bacteria
Description: bacterial SSU rRNA
Rfam family: Bacterial small subunit ribosomal RNA
Source: RNAcentral